UACGUAGGGGGCAAGCGUUGUCCGGAUUUAUUGGGCGUAAAGAGCGUGUAGGCGGCCUGAAAGGUCAGCUGUGAAAACUCGAGGCUCAACCUCGAGACGUCGGUUGAAACCAUCUGGCUAGAGUCCGGAAGAGGAGUGUGGAAUUCCCGGUGUAGCGGUGGAAUGCGCAGAUAUCAGGAGGAACACCGAUGGCGAAGGCAGGUCUCUGGGUCAUUACUGACACUGAGAAGCGAAAGCAUGGGGAGCGAACAGG
Molecule: ribosomal RNA, 253 nt
Filed under: uncultured bacterium
Lineage: Bacteria
Description: partial 16S ribosomal RNA
Rfam family: Bacterial small subunit ribosomal RNA
Source: RNAcentral